CCUCAGUCAUGGGGGUUUUUUGGGUUUUUUUUCCCCCAGUUUUUUUGGUUUGUGCAGGAGUGAGCCAGUGAGUUGCAGUGACCAGAUUUCUUUAUGUUCAACCGGUUUAAGAAAAAAAAACAAGAAAAAAAAAGAAAGAAAAGCAGGAUUUGACUUCAGACCAGUUGGCAAAAUAACAUGCCUUCGGAAGCAGGCGUGUUCACAGAGGGAGAAGAGUGCGGUUUGGAGACGGUUAAAGUUUCAUCCCAUUUUAUCAACAUUCCACUCUUUAUUCAGAAAAUUGGUGGUUGUUACCUUGGAAGUACAGCAGUGAUAACCACUUGAAAGCUUGAACCAAACAUGACUGUUUAAGAUGGGAACUCAACCAAGGGUCCAUAGCAUCCUCGCUCUUAAUGAGCCCAAGCCACCCCAUUAUCAGUACAAAAGGACUCGACCUUUCUUAAACAGAAGUCCUACAUGUGGAUUUAGGCACCUAACUAUGACAUCCCUAUUGGAAAAGUUGGCCUAAGAUCCUGCCAAAUUGAAUAAAAGUGCAGAAGA
This is a long non-coding RNA of Alligator sinensis (Chinese alligator), 540 nucleotides long. RefSeq lists it as uncharacterized. NCBI's taxonomy places the organism in Eukaryota, Metazoa, Chordata, Crocodylia, Alligatoridae. The record is from RefSeq and is a predicted model, not a curated record. The transcript is spliced from 3 exons.